CUCGUAGGCGGUUCGUCGCGUCCGGUGUGAAAGUCCAUCGCUUAACGGUGGAUCCGCGCCGGGUACGGGCGGGCUUGAGUGCGGUAGGGGAGACUGGAAUUCCCGGUGUAACGGUGGAAUGUGUAGAUAUCGGGAAGAACACCAAUGGCGAAGGCAGGUCUCUGGGCCGUUACUGACGCUGAGGAGCGAAAGCGUGGGGAACGAACA
This 207-nucleotide ribosomal RNA is filed under the name uncultured bacterium. RNAcentral describes it as "partial 16S ribosomal RNA". It matches the Rfam family "Bacterial small subunit ribosomal RNA", at positions 568 to 774 of the family's 1533-position model. The record is from RNAcentral.